RNAcentral lists this non-coding RNA (29 nucleotides) under Rattus norvegicus (Norway rat). The record is from RNAcentral. Lineage: Eukaryota; Metazoa; Chordata; Mammalia; Rodentia; Muridae.
UAUGGAAUUAUGUUUUAGUAAAGCUUAGU